AUGGAUCAUUACCAAAGGAUUCGUCCAUGUCUUGUGAACAGUAUUGAGAGCACGGUCGGAGAGAGAGUUUAGUUAACGGUGAUGCAACGUCGCAUUCAAUGCGAUGUCGUGUUUCUUGCAACUACAGCUCUCCCUCCGGCCGACACUAAACUUCAACUUACAGCCUAGUUAUUCAAACUAAAACAACUUUUAGCAAUGGAUCUCUUGGCUCUC
Molecule: unclassified non-coding RNA, 213 nt
Filed under: uncultured fungus
Lineage: Eukaryota; Fungi
Description: partial contains 18S rRNA, ITS1, 5.8S rRNA, ITS2 and 28S rRNA
Source: RNAcentral